GAUGAACGCUGGCGGCGUGCCUAACACAUGCAAGUCGAACGGAAAGGCCCUGCUUUUGUGGGGUGCUCGAGGGGGGAAGGGGGGAGUAAAACGUGAGUAUCCCGCCCUUGUAUUUGGGAGAACUUCACGAAAAUGGGGAUAAUACAGGAGAGGAGAUCCUGCAGCAUGGGGGGGGUUGGAAAGUGUCGGCGGUUGGGGAUGGACUCGCGGCUUAUCAGCUAGUUGGGGGGGUAGGGGCUUACCAAGGCAACGAUGGGUAGCCGGCCUGAGAGGGGGAUCGGCCACACUGGAACUGAGACACGGUCCAGACUCCUACGGGAGGCAGCAGUAGGGAAUCUUGCGCAAUGGGCGAAAGCCUGAUGGAGCAACGCCGCGUGAGUGAUGAAGGUCUUCGGAUCGUAAAACUCUGUUAUUGGGGAAGAACAGCUGUGGAAGAAACUGUGCCCGUCGUGACGGUACCUAAAGAGAAAGCCACGGCUAACUUCGUG
This 488-nucleotide ribosomal RNA is filed under the name uncultured bacterium. Its description in RNAcentral is "partial 16S ribosomal RNA". It matches the Rfam family "Bacterial small subunit ribosomal RNA", at positions 28 to 507 of the family's 1533-position model. The record is from RNAcentral.